AGUGAACGCUGGCGGUAGGCCUAACACAUGCAAGUCGAACGGCAGCACAGUAAGAGCUUGCUCUUACGGGUGUCGAGUGUCGGACGGGGGCGGAAUACACCGGAAUAUACUUUUUCGUGGGGGAUAACGUAGGGAAACUUACGCUAAUACCGCAUACGACCUACGUGUGAAAGCAGGGGAUCUUCGGACCUUGCGCGAUUGAAUGAGCCGAUGUCGGCUUAGCUGGUUGGCGGGGUAAAGGCCCACCAAGGCGACGAUCCGUAGCUGGUCUGAGAGGGUGAAUAGGCAGACUGGAACUGAGACACGGCACAGACUCCUGCAGGAGGAAGCGGUGGGGAAUAUUGGGGGAUGGACGCAAGCGUGAUCCAGCCAAAUCGGCUAGGGGAAGAAGGAGUUCGGGUUCUAAAGCCAUUUUGUUGGGAAAGUAAAGCAGCACUUUAAUCCCCCACUGUUAUGACGGUACCCAAAGAAUAAGCACCGGCUAACUUCGUG
RNAcentral lists this ribosomal RNA (492 nucleotides) under uncultured bacterium. RNAcentral describes it as "partial 16S ribosomal RNA". It matches the Rfam family "Bacterial small subunit ribosomal RNA", at positions 29 to 507 of the family's 1533-position model. The record is from RNAcentral.